UUAUGACCAUAUCAUGUUGAAACACCAGUUCCAGUACGAUCACCAAACUUAAGCAACGUUGAGCCUGGUCAAUACCUAGAUGGGUAACUGCUUGGGAACACCAGAUGCUGUAAG
Molecule: non-coding RNA, 114 nt
Organism: Acanthosepion pharaonis
Lineage: Eukaryota; Metazoa; Mollusca; Cephalopoda; Sepiida; Sepiidae
Source: the annotation of a GenBank genome assembly